Non-coding RNA from Myotis lucifugus (little brown bat), 75 nucleotides. Lineage: Eukaryota; Metazoa; Chordata; Mammalia; Chiroptera; Vespertilionidae. The record is from Rfam.
GAGACACCCUUCUGGGCAAGACUUGCUUCAGUGGGGCUUUGGUGCUCACUGAGUCUGCCCCCUGAGUGUGUCCCU